RNAcentral lists this ribosomal RNA (403 nucleotides) under uncultured bacterium. RNAcentral's name for it is "partial 16S ribosomal RNA". It matches the Rfam family "Bacterial small subunit ribosomal RNA", at positions 28 to 526 of the family's 1533-position model. The record is from RNAcentral.
GACGAACGCUGGCGGCGUGCUUAACACAUGCAAGUCGAGCGAGCGGCGGACGGGUGAGUAAUGUAUGGGGACUGCCCGAUAGAGGGGGAUAACUACUGGAAACGGUAGCUAAUACCGCAUACUAUCGGCUACCCCAUCUGGGAUUAGCUAGUUGGUGAGGUAAUGGCUCACCAAGGCGACGAUCCCUAGCUGGUCUGAGAGGAUGAUCAGCCACACUGGGACUGAGACACGGCCCAGACUCCUACGGAGGCAGCAGUGGGGAAUAUUGGACAAUGGGCGAAAGCCUGAUGCAGCCAUGCCGCGUGUAUGAAGAAGGCCCUAGGGUUGUAAAGUACUUUCAGUCGGGAGGCGUUACCGAAAGAAGAAGCAACGGCUAACUCCGUGCCAGCAGCCGCGGUAAUAC